UACCACCCUUUAAUGUUUGAUGUUCUAACGUGGACCCGUGAUCCGGGUUGCGGACAGUGUCUGGUGGGUAGUUUGACUGGGGCGGUCUCCUCCUAAAGAGUAACGGAGGAGCACGAAGGUUGGCUAAUCCUGGUCGGACAUCAGGAGGUUAGUGCAAUGGCAUAAGCCAGCUUGACUGCGAGCGUGACGGCGCGAGCAGGUGCGAAAGCAGGUCAUAGUGAUCCGGUGGUUCUGAAUGGAAGGGCCAUCGCUCAACGGAUAAAAGGUACUCCGGGGAUAACAGGCUGAUACCGCCCAAGAGUUCAUAUCGACGGCGGUGUUUGGCACCUCGAUGUCGGCUCAUCACAUCCUGGGGCUGAAGUAGGUCCCAAGGGUAUGGCUGUUCGCCAUUUAAAGUGGUACGCGAGCUGGGUUUAGAACGUCGUGAGACAGUUCGGUCCCUAUCUGCCGUGGGCGCUGGAGAACUGAGGGGGGCUGCUCCUAGUACGAGAGGACCGGAGUGGACGCAUCACUGGUGUUCGGGUUGUCAUGCCAAUGGCACUGCCCGGUAGCUAAAUGCGGAAGAGAUAAGUGCUGAAAGCAUCUAAGCACGAAACUUGCCCCGAGAUGAGUUCUCCCUGAGACUUAGAGUCUCCUGAAGGAACGUUGAAGACGACGACGUUGAUAGGCCGGGUGUGUAAGCGCAGCGAUGCGUUGAGCUAACCGGUACUAAUGAACCGUGAGGCUUAACCUUA
This 734-nucleotide ribosomal RNA is filed under the name Salmonella enterica. RNAcentral describes it as "partial 23S ribosomal RNA". It matches the Rfam family "Bacterial large subunit ribosomal RNA", at positions 2198 to 2925 of the family's 2925-position model. The record is from RNAcentral. Lineage: Bacteria; Pseudomonadati; Pseudomonadota; Gammaproteobacteria; Enterobacterales; Enterobacteriaceae.